Molecule: ribosomal RNA, 431 nt
Filed under: uncultured bacterium
Lineage: Bacteria
Description: partial 16S ribosomal RNA
Rfam family: Bacterial small subunit ribosomal RNA
Source: RNAcentral
AGCGAACGCUGGCGGCAGGCUUAACACAUGCAAGUCGAACGCAUCCUUCGGGGUGAGUGGCAGACGGGUGAGUAACACGUGGGAACGUACCCUUCGAUCUGGGAUAACUUCGAAACUGGAGCUAAUACCGGAUACGCCCUUUUGGGGAAAGGUUUACUGUCGAAGGAUCGGCCCGCGUCUGAUUAGCUAGUUGGUGGGGUAACGGCCUACCAAGGCGACGAUCAGUAGCUGGUCUGAGAGGAUGAUCAGCCACACUGGGACUGAGACACGGCCCAGACUCCUACGGGAGGCAGCAGUGGGGAAUAUUGGACAAUGGGCGCAAGCCUGAUCCAGCCAUGCCGCGUGAGUGAUGAAGGCCUUAGGGUUGUAAAGCUCUUUUGUCCGGGACGAUAAUGACGGUACCGGAAGAAUAAGCCCCGGCUAACUUCGUG